AGAUACAAUAUUAAAUAACAAAACAACAUUCCACUUAUUCACUAUAACCUAUAUUAAAGGCUAGAGUUUGUAUGUAUAUAAGAAUUGUCAAAACGACAUUUUACCUUCAGGUGAUCUAAGCACUCUUUAUUUUGGUAUGAUCCAUUUAAGGAGAAUAUUCACUGAAUUUUUUCCCCAAUUAAAACAACCAUUGUUUAUUUCUUUAUUUUUUAUUUAGGCAUGGCUUUUCUUUAUGUGUUUUAUUUGUAUUUCAAAUAAAUACCUCUUCCAAGACAUUAUUUGCAUUUAGAAGAAUAACUAUAUAUUAUCACCUUUAAUAAAGCUGAAUAUGAAUCUGUUUGUUGGAAUUAGAGAUAACUAAAUUUUCUAUACAUACUAAAAAAAUUAAAAAGCUGGUACAUUUGAUUCACUGCAUAUUAUAUUUUCUA
RNAcentral lists this long non-coding RNA (428 nucleotides) under Bos taurus (domestic cattle). Its description in RNAcentral is "long non-coding RNA NONBTAT007584". Lineage: Eukaryota; Metazoa; Chordata; Mammalia; Artiodactyla; Bovidae. The record is from RNAcentral.